Molecule: RNA transcript, 975 nt
Organism: Arabidopsis thaliana (thale cress)
Lineage: Eukaryota; Viridiplantae; Streptophyta; Magnoliopsida; Brassicales; Brassicaceae
Exons: 1
Source: RefSeq
ACCCUACUUGUGGUCUCUGUGUAUAACGAGUAAAUCCUAGCCUCGGAGAUCCAAAACCCGAUCCUGGAGAAUGAUUACCAAACCCAAUGCUCGGAGAUCCUACUUGUGAUCUUCGAGAUGCUCGUUGCUCAACAUUUAUCGGUGCAAGAAAGUGUCGAAAACCUGUAGUAGAUGGGUCAAUACGAAUACUUGGAGUUCUUUGGCUUGUAUUUGCAGACAUACUACAAGCAGAUGAUGGACCAGAUGAUGGAUCAGAUGAUCGAGGCGUACAAGACCCACUCGGUGGACGAGUAAUUCCUACAUUUUCACCUUGGCUUGUAAAUCCUGUUAGAGACUCCAAUAAUCAUAUCCUAUCCUCAUUGGUCUGAAACCGACUUUAAGACAUCCAAUAAUUACGCCAAAAUAGAUCAGUUUUCAGAAGUUGGAGGCAUUGAACGUAGAAAUCAUUGUAUCUUCGAAUCUCCAAUGAUUCAAGAAUAUCGACCGCCCUUUCAAACUCGGUAAAAUCUUCGCGGUCAAAAGCACCAGGACGUAGUCGUUCAAAAGAUUCCCUUUGAAAGUCUCUUAUGGAAGACAUUGUCUCUUGAAUGGUCGAUUCAAAAAAUUUUCUUCUACGUGGUACCCAUGAUCCGCUAGACUCUCUUGAUCCAUUCUUUCGACUAGCCGAUGGAUCAACUCUUGAAUGUUGUCGAUCGUGUGAAUUCAUAUGAUGGUUGUGAAUCAUUAUAAAUGAUCACACGAUACAUCUUCUUGGUUUGUUGAGUUUCUUGAACUUCAUUAGGCUCACAAUCGUCGUCGUUAUCACCAUCAUGUGAAUUGUCAUUUCUGAUUUCCGCUUUUCUUUGCCGCACAGACUAUUGACGUUGAGAACCCACAUCUAAGACUGCAAAGCAAUGAGACGUGAUAUCCCAAUCUUUUGGAGGUUCGCGGUUCAAGCGUGCUAGUUUCGCAAACUCCUAAGAUUAAAAAGUUAAU